ACUCAAAUGAAUAGACGGGGGCCCGCACAAGCAGCGGAGCGUGUGGUUUAAUUCGAUGAUACGCGAAGAACCUUACCUGGGUUUGACAUUAAGGUUGUAGGGAAGCGAAAGCGGACCGACCCUUCGGGGAGCCUUAACAGGUGCUGCAUGGCUGUCGUCAGCUCGUGUCGUGAGAUGUUGGGUUAAGUCCCGCAACGAGCGCAACCCUCGUGGCUAGUUACAAGUGUCUAGCCAGACUGCCGGUUUCAAACCGGAGGAAGGUGGGGAUGACGUCAAGUCAGCAUGGUCUUUAUGUCCAGGGCGACACACACGCUACAAUGGCCGGUACAAUGGGUUGCCCCCUCGCGAGAGGUCGCUAAUCCCCAAAGCCGGUCUCAGUUCAGAUUGCAGUCUGCAACUCGACUGCAUGAAGGCGGAGUUGCUAGUAACCGCGCGUCAGCCAUAGUGCGGUGAAUGCGUUCCCGGGCCUUGUACACACCGCCCGU
RNAcentral lists this ribosomal RNA (485 nucleotides) under uncultured bacterium. Its description in RNAcentral is "partial 16S ribosomal RNA". It matches the Rfam family "Bacterial small subunit ribosomal RNA", at positions 899 to 1397 of the family's 1533-position model. The record is from RNAcentral.